Molecule: long non-coding RNA, 636 nt
Organism: Carassius carassius (crucian carp)
Lineage: Eukaryota; Metazoa; Chordata; Actinopteri; Cypriniformes; Cyprinidae
Exons: 2
Source: RefSeq, a predicted model, not a curated record
UUAGUGCUGUUUUUUAUAAUAAUUCAUGAGUGCUGUUGAGAAGAGCUGCUGUUGAGUCUGAUAUCAGUGUGUGAGUCUCUUCUCUCUUUCUCUGCUGGAGUUUGUGUUUAUUUGAGUGUGACGGAGGUUUUUGUUCGACGCUUUCACUAGAAUGAAGCACUGUGGUACACUUUUGGUGGAGGAACUAAACUGACCAUCGCUGGUCCCGCAGUGAAGCCCUCCGUGUCUCUGCUGCCUCCCUCUUCUCUGCAGAUCUCUGGAGACUCAGCCGCACUGCUCUGUCUGCUCAGCUCUUACUCUCCACAGGGGGCGCAGGUGAGCUGGACGCUGGACGGGUCAGAGGUCACCGAGGGGGUUCAGACCAGCGCAGAGAGCGAGCGGGACGGACGCUACAGCCGCAGCAGCGUCCUGAGCCUCAGCAAAGCACGCUGGGAAGCCGGCGAGCGCUUCGUCUGCAGAGUAACACAUGACGGAGCUGAUCACGAGACCUCGUUCCUCAAGAGCUCCGAGUGCUGAUGUUUCUCCAGUGAAGAGCAGCAGGAUUCACAGCAGUCUCCUGAUUUACAGCUCAAUACUCAAGCAGUCUUUCAAUGUGCUGCCAUUGCUGUUCAUUCAAUAAAGCUUCUGAACGCCUUA